Molecule: transfer RNA, 77 nt
Filed under: Alphaproteobacteria bacterium
Lineage: Bacteria; Pseudomonadati; Pseudomonadota; Alphaproteobacteria
Also listed under: 4 other names
Description: tRNA-Ile
Rfam family: tRNA
About the family: Transfer RNA (tRNA) molecules are approximately 80 nucleotides in length. Their secondary structure includes four short double-helical elements and three loops (D, anti-codon, and T loops).
Source: RNAcentral
GGGUCUGUAGCUCAGCUGGUUAGAGCGCACGCCUGAUAAGCGUGAGGUCGGAGGUUCAAGUCCUCCCAGACCCACCA